Long non-coding RNA from Raphanus sativus (radish), 212 nucleotides. RefSeq lists it as uncharacterized. Lineage: Eukaryota; Viridiplantae; Streptophyta; Magnoliopsida; Brassicales; Brassicaceae. The record is from RefSeq and is a predicted model, not a curated record. The transcript has 3 exons.
UUGGAAGGUUUGGUCUAUCUGCAUGAGCAGGGUGUCAUACACCGUGAUAUCAAAGGUGCAAAUAUUUUGACGACAAAAGAGGGUCUUGUUAAGCUUGCUGACUUUGGAGUUGCCACUAAACUAAACGAGGCGGAUGUUAACACUCACUCAGUGGUUGGAACUCCUUACUGGAUGGCUCCUGAGGUUAUUGAAAUGUCCGGAGUUUGUGCUGC